Molecule: unclassified non-coding RNA, 198 nt
Filed under: uncultured fungus
Lineage: Eukaryota; Fungi
Description: sequence contains ITS1
Source: RNAcentral
GUAUAUAUUAUUAUAUAGGCACAACAUUCUAUUAACAUACAUUGGGGUAAAUGAAGCAACAUAGACCUGAAAGGUCUACAAAAAGUGCACAGGUGGAGAUAUAAAGAUGACAAGGUGUGCACAUGCUCCCUAGAGAACCAGCAGCAACCCAUCAGGUUUAUUUCAAUAAUGAUCCUUCCGCAGGUUCACCUACGGAAA